Long non-coding RNA from Apodemus sylvaticus (European woodmouse), 331 nucleotides. RefSeq lists it as uncharacterized. The transcript has 3 exons. NCBI's taxonomy places the organism in Eukaryota, Metazoa, Chordata, Mammalia, Rodentia, Muridae. The record is from RefSeq and is a predicted model, not a curated record.
CAGCAAGCUCCAGGCCUACCAGCAAGCUCCAGGUCUACCAGCAAGCUCCAGGUCUACCAGCAAGCUCCAGGUCUACCAGCAAGCUCCAGGUCUACCAGCAAGCUCCAGGUCUACCAGCAAGCUCCAGGCCUACCAGCAAGCUCCAGGUCUACCAGCAAGCUCCAGGCCUACCAGCAAGCUCCAGGUCUACCAGCAAGCUCCAGGUCUACCAGCAAGCUCCAGGUCUACCAGCAAGCUCCAGGUCUACCAGCAAGCUCCAGGCUAGCCCGAGCUGUGAUCUCACCAGAUCAUGUCUCAAAAACAAAAACAAAUGUCCAGAAACAGUCUGGCU